Molecule: ribosomal RNA, 273 nt
Filed under: uncultured bacterium
Lineage: Bacteria
Description: partial 16S ribosomal RNA
Rfam family: Bacterial small subunit ribosomal RNA
Source: RNAcentral
UACGGAGGGGGCAAGCGUUAUUCGGAAUUAUUGGGCGUAAAGGGCUCGUAGGCGGCCUAGCAAGUCAGUGGUGAAAUCCCUCGGCUCAACCGAGGACCUGCCUCUGAAACUGCAAGGCUAGAGGCCGGGAGAGGGUGGUGGAAUUCCCAGUGUAGCGGUGAAAUGCGUAGAUAUUGGGAGGAACACCAGUGGCGAAGGCGGCCACCUGGACCGGUUCUGACGCUGAGGAGCGAAAGCGUGGGGAGCAAACAGGAUUAGAAACCCUUGUAGUCC